AUGCACGCAAGUGUGAUAAGGGAAUCCCAAGUGCUUAUGCUUAGCAUAGGCUUUUGCCAAGAGUAAAUAUCCUGGCGAAUAAGUGAUGGGUAAGACUGGUGCCAGCAGCCGCGGUAAAA
Molecule: ribosomal RNA, 119 nt
Filed under: uncultured archaeon
Lineage: Archaea
Description: partial 16S ribosomal RNA
Rfam family: Archaeal small subunit ribosomal RNA
Source: RNAcentral